AUCUCUCUGACGAGUCCCAAAUAGACCGAAACGUGCGUCCUGGAU
Non-coding RNA from Schistosoma curassoni, 45 nucleotides. NCBI's taxonomy places the organism in Eukaryota, Metazoa, Platyhelminthes, Trematoda, Strigeidida, Schistosomatidae. The record is from Rfam.